RNAcentral lists this transfer RNA (72 nucleotides) under Dipodomys ordii (Ord's kangaroo rat). It matches the Rfam family "tRNA". Rfam says of the family: Transfer RNA (tRNA) molecules are approximately 80 nucleotides in length. Their secondary structure includes four short double-helical elements and three loops (D, anti-codon, and T loops). Lineage: Eukaryota; Metazoa; Chordata; Mammalia; Rodentia; Heteromyidae. The record is from Rfam by way of RNAcentral.
UGGGGUGCAGUUCAUUGGUAGAACACAUUCUUUGCAUGUGUGAGGCUCUGGGUUCAAUUCCUAGCACCCCCU